This 8357-nucleotide long non-coding RNA is filed under the name Triticum aestivum (bread wheat). RNAcentral describes it as "long non-coding RNA (TAES_LNC001486)". The record is from RNAcentral. Lineage: Eukaryota; Viridiplantae; Streptophyta; Magnoliopsida; Poales; Poaceae.
UCCCCGUGACUCACAGAUACUUCCAAAACUAGCUUGCAGGUGUCGUGGAACCAUGCAUAUGACGCAACUAAGCUCAAGGAGGAGCUCGAUGAAGAUCUUGUCCUUUAUGUUGUUCUGCUUCCAGUUGAUCAGUAGUGGAGCCCAGUUGGGGUCGAUCGGGGACCUUGUCGCAUUUGGGGUUCUUCUUUUAUUUUGGUUCCGUAGUCGGACCUUGAUUGUAUUUGGAUGUUGUAAUGCUUUAUUCAUGUAUUUGUGUGAAGUGACGAUUGUGAUCCAACUAUGUAUCUAUUUCCCUUAUGUAUUACAUGGGUUGUGUGAACAUUACCUCACUUGCAACAUUGCUUUUAAUGCGGUUAUGCCUCAAAGUCGUGCUUCGACACGUGGGAGAUAUAGCCGCAUCGAGGGCGUUACAAGUUGGUAUCAGAGCCUUCCCCGACCUUAGGAGCCCCCACUGCUUGAUCGAAUUAGCGGACGAGUUGAGUCUAGAAAUUUUUUUGAGUCAUCUAGGAAUUAUAUAUCGGAGAGUUUAGGAAUUCUUUUUACUCCCCAGUCCCUUCAUCACUCUGGUAAGGCAUCCUGACGUACAGUUUUGACUCUUCUCUUCUCAAAUUUCACUAAAUUUUUUUAGGAUCACGCGGGUAUCUUGGAAUCGUUCCGAUCGAUUUGUGACGAGAACAUUGUUCUGGGUGCCUCCUGUCAUUUAGGGGUUGUGGCAGUGUCCGGGGGAGUUGAGCUCCGAGGUGUUGUCGUCACAAUUUUAUCGUUGCAGUUCUGGAAUACCUGACUUUAGUUUCGCCGACAUUGAAAAUCUCUUUUAUGUAGUUGUUGGUGAGAUAACCUCGACGCCACCCAGUACUGGGGCGGGAGUUUGGGAGUAUUUCCAUAACUCGUAUAACGGAUGCUUUUCAAAGGUUGAGGUAAACGAUUUCUAAAGGUUUCUUGGUUAUGUGUUGAAGGAUGGAUGCAACUGGAUGUAGGAUUUGCUAGUUUUGGGUGAGAUAUUAUGCUUCCCCUGUAUCCCCAACACCUGAUUGCAUAACCGGAAAGGUUCGGGAGUUUCAUAGGUGGGAAUUCAAGUAGCUCGUAGGAUAUCUUUCCGACAGAUGUAUGAUAUGAAAUUGGGGUUCUACGUCUAGUUGUCCGCCUAUUCACGGUUGGUUUUACAGUGGUCUCGUUGUGUCUUAAAGAGUCCUUGGCUAUGCCGACUCGGGGACGCUUCGUAUGUCAUGUGCAUUGCCUUGUACAUGAUGGUGCUGUACGAUCGAGCCCGUGUAGGCCCCACCACGAAAACUUCAGACGAAAUCUCUAUCAUAUGUUUUUUCCGGCUUAUUUUGCAUGCCAAUCCUUUGUUUUGUUUUGAGUUGUGUUAUUCGAGUUGCUUCAGUGUCAAGUAUUGACUCCAUACCUUCUCUAAACGGUGUUCUCAUACUCCGAUGUGAAUACCAAUGCUCAUGAUAAUCGAGAUUGUCAUGUCAAUCCUUUUCAACCGACGUGUUUUCUCUUCAAGUGGAUUCGUCCAUUUUCAACAUCCGCAAGCUCGAGUAUCAGUUCUUCUCAACGGUGUUUGCUUCAUCCGUCUUCAAGUUGUCUUUGUUUUCCCGCCCUCCCACCCUUAUUUCUUCAAGGACUCAGAUUUCUUAAUCAAGUAUCUUUUACUCUUGUGAAGUUUCUCCAUCCUUUUCUCGUCAAUGUUCUUAUCCGGUGAUUCUCAUGAAGCUUCUAAUGGAGCUUCAAGCUCAUCAUUCUUCGUUCUUUUUCUUCUCCGGUGGUUUCAAUUCAAGUUUUUUUAGUGUUGAUCAUAUUACUUUUCUUGUUUCAAAUAUUUUAUCAUGCCGGUGCACCUCAUUACCAUCCACUUCUCGCUAUUCAAUUGUUCCGGAGUGCUCUAGAUAUCUCGGAGAUUCGUGUUUUCCACUCUGCAUCCGUUAAAGAUCUUUGGAGGUUGUUAUCUCAUUCUAGCCAUUUAAUUCAACCGGUGCAAUCUCAGUUUCUAGUAAUCGUUCUACGGUGUAUCUUUUGAGUGGGCCCUAAGCCACAGAUCUUUUUCCAAGAUCUUACCUAACUCUUCUUAUUUUCCCAGAGCUAUCCUCAAUUUUUUUUCAAAGUUUGACGUAAGAAUGAUUCAUCAUCAGUCAUAUGUUUUCUCCAAAUUCUUUCAAAUUCUUUUCAUCGUUGGCUCAACCUCUCCUCUUUUAAUCAUUCUGGAGUGUCUCAACAAUUUGGUGGUGUUUCUCAUCGUCAUUCUCAGAUUUUGAAGGCCGAAGAAGAGUUUCUUUUAAAUCUUGCCCCAUUCUCUGCCAUUCUCCCAUAAUUGUUUCGGUUGUGAGAAUUUCUUUUCACCCAUCCAGAGUAAUUCAGGAGUCUUUUCAGUUUGAUUAUCCGGAGCCCACCAUCUAAGAUUUAUUCAUUCCAGCUUUUAGCUCUCAUACUCUAAAUCAUACCGGUGCUUAAAUCAAGGAUGCUCUAAUCAGCUCGUAAUCUCUUCGUUCUCAUGGAUCUAAAUUCUCUCAAGCAACUUCGUUUAAUGGCUAACUCUUCCCGGUGUUUCUUCAUGUUUUAGUCGUUUUUUUAAUUCUUCCCGGUGUUUCUUUAUAUUUUUCAUUGUUCAUUUUCAAUUCUUACGGUGGUUCGUUCAGGAUUUCUCUUCCUUCUUUAUCAUAUCAGUUCAUUCGUUGUUUAGAUUCUACCGGUGGAUCAUCGAAGACCUUCUCAAAUUUAUAAUAUACCUCUCUUAAUUUUUUCUACGAGAAUAAGUAGUAUGCCAAAUCCGUUGCUUGUCAUCAAUCUAAAUUGGUGAAGGAUAAGUAUAAUGCAAUUCGUAUUCUUCUUUCAUCCAAGUGAUUAACUCCUUAUUUCGGAGGCUCAUCAAAUUCUCGGUUUCAUAUGUUUCAUCUUUUCUUUUACCGGAGUUCCAAGCCCUCUCAACUAUAUCGUCACGAAGAUCCAUCUAAUCAUUGCAAGGGUUCAACUUGUGUUUUCAACUUCUCCUUCAUUCCGUUUUGAUCAUCCUUUCGUUACCGGAGUUCUUCAUGGAGGUUCGACAUAAUGUUCCAUCAAGGAUUUAAUUCCUUCUCCAUGUUUUUCAUCGAGAUUCUCUUCUAAGAAGCUCAAGCUUUAUUCUUCUUGCAAUCUGGAGUGCAUUUGUUCUCUCUUAUCUUCUUGAGAUGGUAUUAUGUCAUUCUUGAUAAGUUGAGUUCAUGUUUCAUGAUUCACAGGUUGUUAAGAAUGGGAUAUUUUAAAUCCAUCAACCUCUUCGUUGGAGCUAUCUUGGGUUAUAAUUCACCUAAAGCUUUCCCUAAGGAUUGUUGCUAUUUACGGUGCUUAUAAAUGAUCCAAGUUCUCAUUUAUCCUCCCGGUGAAAUAAGUUUCUCGUCUCCUCGUUGACGUCAAUCCAAUCUUUUGUUUCGUUAGUGGCAGAAUUUCACCUCAUAAUUUGAGAUGUAUUCCAUAAGACCAUAUCAAGCUUAUCCUUUUCGUUGUUGAUUUUUCCAACAACUCCGUUCGAACCUUCUCCUAAAGAUGCUUUGGCAAGCUCAUUUUGGGGUAGAAGGUAUUGUUACUCCUCCAUUCAUUCCAUUCCAUCCUCUCUUUUCUUCCGGAGGUAUUGUGAUGUUUCUCAUUUCUCUUUUCAUCUCAAGUUACCAAGAUCAUGAACUUUUCAUGCUUAUCCUUUUAACCGUAGUGUUGUGCCCUUUGCUCAAGUUCUCUUCGCCUUAUCAAGUCUUGCAUCCCUUCUCAACCGAAGUGCUAUCCGAAUUGGUUCUUUCUUUUCCUUUGUCUUAACGAAGUGUUUUCAACUUCGUUCAUCUCCGUUGCAUUUUUUUCCUUAAAUUUGUUCAACAUCUAAAGGUUCUUUGGUUUCACUCGUUUGUCAAAGGAGCAACUUAGAUUUACCUCUUCUCUUUCUCUUCUGUUUUCCCUCCGGUGCCAUUCUAGAUCUCGGGAUGAGAUCCUCUCGUAGUGGUGGAGUGUUGUGGUGCCCCGAGACCGUUGUGUCAGGUGUCUUCCGGUGUUUCGUUGUUGUUGCCUAGUCAUUUGCUUGCGUGUCGCAUCUUGUCAUGUCAUCAUGUGCAUUGCAUCAUCAUGUUUUCGAAACUUCCAUGCGUCCCGGCCUCCUCGUUCUCUCUAUUGUCCGUUCUGAGCCCAGACACACUUGCACGCUCCCGCGGCAUGUCCGAAAUAUUAUUUUAUAAGUGGCCGGAAAAUGUUCUCGGAAUGGGUUGAAAGUUGGCGUGCGGUCUUAUUAUAGUGUAGAUAGACCGCCUGUCAAGUUUCAUCGCGUUAGGAGUCCGUUUGAUGCCCCAACGAUUAACUAUAGCGGCAUUAUAGCCGGUCUAACGUCGGACGUUUUCGGUCUCCGGAAACAGAUGCCGGGCCCUCCCUCUCUCUUCUCCCCCUCGCAGUCUCGCCACAGCCCACCUAGUCCAUCCUCCUUCCCCUCUUCGCUUCCGGAGUUGUCCGAUGCGACCGCACGGUCCGAAACCCUCUCUGCUCAGUGCAUCAAACACCCCUCGCGCGCGCGUCAAAAAAGCUGUCCCGGACCCGACCCGGAUUGUCGCCACCGUUGUGUCCGGAUCAUCCUCAAACAUCUACAAAACAUCACCUUUUCCUUGUUAGGACUUCCUAACCUAUAUUUUCUCAGCCGUCUGAUAGAUCGAAGGGCUUCCAUUAGUCUGCAUAUAGCCCACUCACUAUAUAACCAGACACAAACCCUAAUUUUUAGGAGGUGUCCCAUCCAUCCCCCAAGCCGCCGCCACUCCUCUUGUCUCUUCCUCCUCAGGUUCAUCGCCGAUCCAAAUCCCCUCCUCGCUUUCACCACCACACCAACCCGAGCCAGUCACCUCUCCUUCCACUUAGCCUCUCCAUCGGGAUCCAUCCCGUUCAACCAACGAGCCCCCUCCUCCUGCUUUGUUCCCCGAAGGGAUCGAGAGAGUUGCCGCCGCCUUGUCACCUCCCGUGCCUCUCGACCCCCGCCUCCUCUGCACGCAUCUCGCCGGAGCAAGCUCACCCCGAUCCAGUCGCUGCCGGUGAACAGUGGCAGAAACCGAGGCCCGCUGCGUUUCCCCGCUCUUUCCUUCUUGUCCACCCCCUUCCCCUGUCUCUCCCUCACAUCUCUCUCUCUCUGCAGGAGACUGCCGUCGCGCCCUCUGCCAUGGAGCUCGCCUCCAUCGUCAGCACCGCACGAGGGCCCCGCCGUCCCCGACCUCCCCGCGGCCCACCUCACCUCGUCAUCCUUCUCUCCUCGCGACCGCGAGCCUGUCGUCGGACGCGCCUCCUCUGGUUCCCGAGGCCGAGUCACCCCGUGCCCGCAACCCCGCGUCGACCCCCUGCCUCAUCUGCGUCGUCGGAGCCCCGAGGAGUUUGCACCGUCCAUUCCCGCGUCCCGCUCGUCCUGGAGUUCCCUGCUUCACCAAGACCACCGCCGCCGCUUCGCUCGAGCGACUGCAGCCUCGGGAGGAGCCCGAGAGCCUCCUCCUGCUCGACCCUGCUGCCUCGCUGCAGACCUCUUCCAGUGUGGACCUCGCCGGAGCUCCGCAGGUCGCCAUGCGCCCCUGCUCCUCCUUCCCUUUCCCUCUCUUCCUCCCUGACUUUUUCUCAUGCCCGUGUCCUGUAGGAGCUCAUCGCGCGCCGACCGUUCCGAGAUCCAAUCCGCGACUCCCGUUGCCGGAAUUGAACCCAGGCACCUCCCCGCGCUCAGUUCCGCCGUCCUCGACCGGUUCCUGCUUGCCCUCGCCCGCACAAGUCCCUCGUCGCGCCGCCUUCGUCAAGUCCCUGCCGUGGCUCUGCUUUCUGACAAGAACAGGGCGAGGUGCCCGCUUGCCCGCUCGCCUGUUCCUUCCCCGUUGACUUUUCAUCGAUGGAUUGCAACGCCCUGGCCCAGCGCGCCAGCCUCCCUGGUUCACCGUCGAACUGGGCCCAAGGCCUCGAAGGCCCAUUGUGAGCAGCUCCCAAAUCCGCCCAGAUUCAGCCUGCCUAUGUUUUUUUCAUGCCCUGUGAAUUUGUCUAUUUAUCCAGGAGUUUGCAGUUUUACAGAAAAGCCCUCAUACAUCAUGCAUAUAAUAACUUAACAACCGUGCAUCGGUUUAAAAUGAUUUAUAUAUGAAACAUGACUAGAAUUUCAUCUAGUUUCGUAAUAUGUCAUUUUGAUCCAUGUUUAAAAUGUUUAAAAUGCUGUUUGUUUAAAUUUGCUUAAAUAACUUGCUAAAAUGAUUUAUUUCAUAACUAAAUAACCGUAGCUCCGAAUUUAACAAACUUUAUAUGUAAAUGGGGUAGAAUUUUGCAUAGUUUAACAUGGUGCACUCUUCUUGCAUGUUUAACAACUAUAAAAUUGUGUUUAGGGCAGAACAGUACCAUAACCAAAAUAUGCACAUGCGGAGUUUCCGGACUUGUUGUUUGUUGUUCCGGCCUCAUUUAACCUUGCCUAGAUAGGUAGUUUUCAUUUGCUUCACCUCUUGCCAUGUUAAUCAACAUUUAAUAUUGUUGGGUACAUAAACGAGAUCGAACUAAAUAACUUGUUGUGGAGUUUCGUCACUAUGCAACUCGUUGCAUAUUGAGCUCCACUUACCAUGUAGUUUUGCUUGUGCACUUUGCCAUGCCAUGAAUCAUUAAACCGGACAUGCAUCAAACUUGGUUGUGCAUCAUGCCAUGUUUAUGUGGUGGUUGUUUACUAUGUUGUUUGCUUCUUUCCGGUGUUGCUUCUUCGGGUUGGUUCUGAUAACAUCGUGAUUGUGAGGACUCGUUCGUCUACGUCCGUUUGUCUUCUUCAUGGACUCGUUCUUCUUCCUUGCAGGAUUUCAGGCAAGAUGACCAUACCCUCAAAAUCCCUUCUAUCUUUGCUUGCUAGUUGCUCGCUCUUUUGCUAUGCCUAUGUUGCGAUACCUACCGCUUGCUUAUCAUGCCUCCCAUAUUGUUGAACCAAGCCUCUAACCCACCUUGUCCUAGCAAACCGUUGUUUGGCUAUGUUACCGCUUUGCUCAUCCCCUCUUAUAGCAUUGUUAGUUGCAGGUGAAGAUUGAAGUUUGUUCCUUGUUGGAACAUGGACAUGUUGUUCCUUGUUGGAACAUGUUUACUUGUUGGGAUAUCACAAUAUAUCUUAUUUAAUUAAUGCAUCUAUAUACUUGGUAAAGGGUGGAAGGCUCGGCCUUAUGCCUGGUGUUUUGUUCCACUCUUGCCGCCCUAGUUUCCGUCAUAUCGGUGUUAUGUUCCCGGAUUUUGCGUUCCUUACGCGGUUGGGCUAUAAUGGGAACCCCUUGACAGUUCGCCUUGAAUAAAACUCUCCAGCAAUGCCCAACCUUGGUUUUACCAUUUUCCUCACCACCACCUACUUUUCCCUUGGGAGUCGCUCUCUCGAGGGUCAUCUUUAUUUUAACCCCCCCGCCCGGGCCAGUGCUCCUCUGAGUGUUGGUCCGAACUGAGCUGCCUGCGGGGCAACCUCGGGGAAACUUGAGGUUUGGUUUUACUCGUAGCUAGUCUCAUCUGAGUGUGCCUUGAGAACGAGAUAUGUGCAGCUCCUAUCGGGAUUUGUCGGCACAUUCGGGCAUUGUUGCUGGAUUUGUUUUAACUUGUCGAAGUUGUCUUGUAGAACCGGGAUACCGAGUCUGAUCGGAAUGUCUUGGGAGAAGGUAUAUCCUUCGUUGACCGUGAGAGCUUGUCAUGGGCUAAGUUGGGACUCCCCUGCAGAGAUUUGAACUUUCGAAAGCCGUGCCCGUGGUUAUGGGCAGAUGGGAAUUUGUUAAUGUCCGGUUGUAGAAAACCUGAAGUUGACCUUAAUUAAAACACAUCAACCGCGUGUGUAACCGUGAUGGUCUCUUUCCGGCGGAGUCCAGGAAGUGAACACGGUGUUGGAGUUAUGCUUGGCGUAGGUUGCUAUAGGAUCACUUUUUGAUCAUGGUUCUUCAUUCGUGCUUUGCCUUCUCUUCUCUCUCUCUUUUGCGAACAGGUUAGCCACCAUAUUUGCUAGUCGCUUGCUGCAGCUCCACCUCAUACAUUUACCUUACCCAUAAGCUUAAAUAGUCUUGAUCGCGAGGGUGCGAGAUUGCUGAGUCCCCGUGACUCACAGAUACUUCCAAAACCAGCUUGCAGGUGUCGUGGAACCAUGCAUAUGACGCAACUAAGCUCAAGGAGGAGCUCGAUGAAGAUCUUGUCCUUUAUGUUGUUCUGCUUCCAGUUGAUCAGUAGUGGAGCCCAGUUGGGGUCGAUCGGGGACCUUGUCGCAUUUGGGGUUCUUCUUUUAUUUUGGUUCCGUAGUCGGACCUUGAUUGUAUUUGGAAGUUGUAAUGCUUUAUUCAUGUAUUUGUGUGAGUUGCGAUUGUAAGCCAACUAUGUAUCUCUUUCCCUUAUGUAUUACAUGGGUUGUG